AAAGCAGCCUACCUUCUAUUUACUGCUUUUGAAUAGUGGUAUUUUAUCAAAUAAAACCCUGUAACCAACGUAAUUAUGAAGGACUUGGAUAAUUUUAAUGGAAAUAAAGAAGAAAAAGCACUUGGAAUCUCACAGAUUAAAGUUUCCAUUUAACCCUCAAAUGUGAAUAAUGCAAGCAAUGAUUCUGAAGCAGGCAAUAUGAAAGAAAGGAUAGCAGAAAAGGAAAAAAAAGAAGGAGAGGAAGAAUAAGAUGAAGAAGAAAAAGAAGAAGAGAAGGAGGAGGAGGAAGAAGAAAAAGAUGAAGAAAAUCAUGUUAAUCCUUAGGAAUUUCACUCUGAAGAGUAACUGGGUCCUAUCUCCAAAUAUAGUCACAUUGGAAGUUAGACAUUCAACACAUGAAUUCUGGAAGGACACAAACUUCCAGUCCAUAACAAGAGCUGAAGUAUUUUUACAUCAAUUUCCAUUACUUCUGGCACUUCUGGACUACCAUGUGUGUGAACAAAAGGGCGUUUGCAAUCAGAAGAGGCUCUCAGAUAAAGAUGUGCAAGUUCCGGCAAUUGGAAAUGGGCCAGGUAUACACUGAAGUGGUAAAGACGGGGGGAAUAUCAGGGGGAUGUCAAUAGCAACUACUUUACUUCUUUAAUCAGUAUUUUCUGAAAAGCCUGCCAUAAUUUACCCAUCUAAAUAAACUUAGCCAUGUAUUGGGGAACUCAGAAAUUCUGACGUCACUUCAAAUCACCUAUGGAAAUGUGUAAGAAGGAUCGUUUUUACUGAAUUCAUUUGUUUUAUAAUUUUAUUUUUCUUAAUCAUUUGUGCUUUCUUCCUAUUGUGUCAAAAUGAGAUAACC
RNAcentral lists this long non-coding RNA (847 nucleotides) under Equus caballus (horse). Its description in RNAcentral is "lncRNA (ENSECAG00000056691.1)". The record is from RNAcentral. Lineage: Eukaryota; Metazoa; Chordata; Mammalia; Perissodactyla; Equidae.